Molecule: unclassified non-coding RNA, 923 nt
Filed under: Hevea brasiliensis (rubber tree)
Lineage: Eukaryota; Viridiplantae; Streptophyta; Magnoliopsida; Malpighiales; Euphorbiaceae
Source: RNAcentral
AGUAGGUUCAGUCUCAGGCUUGAGUAAACCUUUUUCAUCAUCUAAAGGAAUUGGGGAAGGAGAAGGAGAACCUUGUGGAGGUUCAUGUGAAGCUGAUUUCAACUCCACACUUUUAUCACUAGGGGCUGCUUCAGUCAGAUGUUGCUUUGGACUGGACCUCAGGUUCCCAUCAUUAUCAUUAUGGGCUGCCUCCACUUGAGAGCUUGCCUUCAACUCCACGCUUUUAUUAUCACUGGGGGCUGCUUCAGUAUGAUGUUGCUUUGGACUGGACCUCAAGUUCACAUCAUUACCAUUAGGAGCUGCCUCAGCCUGAGGGUUUUGAGGACUGGUCUUCAACCCCACACUGUCAUCAUUAAGAACUGUUUCAGUCUGAGAUUGUUCAAUGUUGGUCUUCAACUCUGCACUAUUAUCGUUGGGAACUGUCUCAGUCUUAGGUUGUUGAGUAUUGGCCUUGAACUCAGCAGUGUUAUCAUUUAUGGCUGCAUCAGUCUGCGAUUGUGGAGGAUCGCUCACGAUGUUAUCAGUGGGGGCUGCCUCAGUCUGAGAUUUUUGAAGAUUAGACUUCAAUUGCAAGCCAUUAUCACUGGAGGGUGUCUCAAAGUGAAAUUGUUGUGGGCGGGACUUCAAUUCCACAAUAUUAACCUUGGGAGCUGCAGAUAGAAGAUUACCAUUUUCAGAGGGGCAUGGCUCAUCCUGGUCCCUGGGGACCGGGCGAGUAGGAGAAGCAUGGUCAAGUUGUUCAACUGGAACUUGCUGUGCUUCAAGCGGCACGUCAGUGGCCGGAGAAUGUGGCAGUGGCUUAGCAGAUUCAUCCUCAUUUUCUGUGGCAUUGCCCAUCUCUAGUUCUGCAAGGGAAAGGAAACAGACGGUUUCAGGAGAAGGGAAAGAAGCUUAGGCUUCAAUGAAGAAGAAGAAGAACCCUA